UACGUAGGGUGCAGGCGUUAAUCGGAAUUACUGGGCGUAAAGCGUGCGCAGGCGGUUUCUUAAGUCAGAUGUGAAAGCCCCGGGCUUAACCUGGGAACUGCGUUUGAAACUGGGAGACUUGAGUGUGGCAGAGGGGGGUGGAAUUCCACGUGUAGCAGUGAAAUGCGUAGAUAUCUGGAGGAAUACCGGUGGCGAAGGCGGCAUCCUGGACCGGCAUUGACGCUGAGGAGCGAAAGCCAGGGGAGCAAACGGG
Molecule: ribosomal RNA, 253 nt
Filed under: uncultured bacterium
Lineage: Bacteria
Description: partial 16S ribosomal RNA
Rfam family: Bacterial small subunit ribosomal RNA
Source: RNAcentral